Long non-coding RNA from Armigeres subalbatus, 376 nucleotides. RefSeq lists it as uncharacterized. NCBI's taxonomy places the organism in Eukaryota, Metazoa, Arthropoda, Insecta, Diptera, Culicidae. The record is from RefSeq and is a predicted model, not a curated record. The transcript has 3 exons.
UGUACAGUUUUGUUUAUAAUUAGUGAAGAGAUGAAAAUAAUGAAACUGUAUGGUGCAGAAAGUGUUUUUUUCAUUGCAGUUUCUGCUGCUGGGAAAGCGGUAGAUCACUAUGGCUUCUGUACCGUGAAAUGAAGCUUAUGAUAAAUAAAAUACUGCUGCUUGCUGGUCACUGAUUGAAGAUCGUUCAGUGGCUACCAUUGGCCAAUCUCACCAACGGGAUAUAAUAAGAACUGAUGCAGGUUUAUAUCUAUAUGUAUUGUCUAUUCGGAACAAAGUUAGAACGCUUUUUAAACCGAUGUUGGAUUUUUCUCCAGAUACAGGCAACCCACUUAACUUUGGAAGUAGUGCGCUGGAUUCAUCUAAAGAUAUGCUAAAC